RNAcentral lists this ribosomal RNA (664 nucleotides) under uncultured eukaryote. RNAcentral's name for it is "bacterial SSU rRNA". It matches the Rfam family "Eukaryotic small subunit ribosomal RNA", at positions 989 to 1623 of the family's 1831-position model. The record is from RNAcentral.
GUCAGAGGUUCGAAGGCGAUCAGAUACCGCCCUAGUUCUAACCAUAAACGAUGCCAGCCAGCGAUUAGCCUGAGUUCCUUAAAUGACUCGGCUAGCAGCUUCCGGGAAACCAAAGCUUUUCGGUUCCGGGGGAAGUAUGGUUGCAAAGCUGAAACUUAAAGGAAUUGACGGAAGGGCACCACCAGGAGUGGAGCCUGCGGCUUAAUUUGACUCAACACGGGAAAACUUACCUGGUCAGGACACUGGAAGGAUUGACAGAUUGAGAGCUCUUUCUUGAUUCAGUGGGUGGUGGUGCAUGGCCGUUCUUAGUUGGUGGAGCGAUUUGUCUGGUUAAUUUCGAUAACGAACGAGACUCUAGCCUACUAAAUAGACUGCUCAACUUUAUAGCUGCAUCACCUUGCAGUUGCUUCGGUGGCUGUAAGGCUGUGGUGACGUUGGCAGUGCUUCUUAGAGGGACAGGCGGCGGUUCAGCCGCACGAAACAGAGCAAUAACAGGUCUGUGAUGCCCUUAGAUGUCCAGGGCCGCACGCGCGCUACACUGAAGUGAUCAGCGUGCAAUUAACGUUUCCUACUCCGUCAGGAGUGGGUAACCCGUUGAACCUUCUUCGUGAUUGGGAUAGGGGAUUGUAAUUAUUCCCCUUGAACGAGGAAUUCCCAGUAAGCG